GGAUUCGUAUAUGUGGAGGAAAUGUUCUGUAUGACAACCUUUCGCCUAUUUUCUAGCAGCUUGGUUGCAUACUACUCUAUUAUGUAUUGUAUUGAGACUAUAUGGUGUGUAGGGAUGGAUGAGCGUUUUAUACCGCACAUUGUGUGAUGGGAUGGUCGGAGAUGGUGUGUAGAGGUAGGAUUCUGUAUAUUUGUUCUAAUUAUUUGAUUCUGGCAUUUGUUCCUGUAAGGACUUAAGUUCUAAUUUGUAUCUAUCCUGCAUACGAGAAUUUUGUGUUUAUUUGCAUGACUAUCUCUCUUGGGUUACACAUUGAGUUUACGAAAACUCACAUCUGUUUG
RNAcentral lists this long non-coding RNA (338 nucleotides) under Gossypium barbadense (sea-island cotton). Its description in RNAcentral is "long non-coding RNA (GBAR_LNC017653)". Lineage: Eukaryota; Viridiplantae; Streptophyta; Magnoliopsida; Malvales; Malvaceae. The record is from RNAcentral.